This 1491-nucleotide ribosomal RNA is filed under the name uncultured organism. Its description in RNAcentral is "SSU rRNA". It matches the Rfam family "Bacterial small subunit ribosomal RNA". The record is from RNAcentral.
UUCAGGAUGAACGCUGGCGGCGUGCCUAAUACAUGCAAGUCGAACGAGUUCUGAUUAUUGAAAGGUGCUUGCAUCUUGAUUUUAAUUUUGAACGAGUGGCGGACGGGUGAGUAACACGUGGGUAACCUGCCCUUAAGUGGGGGAUAACAUUUGGAAACAGAUGCUAAUACCGCAUAAAUCCAAGAACCGCAUGGUUCUUGGCUGAAAGAUGGCGUAAGCUAUCGCUUUUGGAUGGACCCGCGGCGUAUUAGCUAGUUGGUGAGGUAACGGCUCACCAAGGCAAUGAUACGUAGCCGAACUGAGAGGUUGAUCGGCCACAUUGGGACUGAGACACGGCCCAAACUCCUACGGGAGGCAGCAGUAGGGAAUCUUCCACAAUGGACGCAAGUCUGAUGGAGCAACGCCGCGUGAGUGAAGAAGGCUUUCGGGUCGUAAAACUCUGUUGUUGGAGAAGAAUGGUCGGCAGAGUAACUGUUGUCGGCGUGACGGUAUCCAACCAGAAAGCCACGGCUAACUACGUGCCAGCAGCCGCGGUAAUACGUAGGUGGCAAGCGUUAUCCGGAUUUAUUGGGCGUAAAGCGAGCGCAGGCGGUUUUUUAAGUCUGAUGUGAAAGCCCUCGGCUUAACCGAGGAAGUGCAUCGGAAACUGGGAAACUUGAGUGCAGAAGAGGACAGUGGAACUCCAUGUGUAGCGGUGAAAUGCGUAGAUAUAUGGAAGAACACCAGUGGCGAAGGCGGCUGUCUGGUCUGUAACUGACGCUGAGGCUCGAAAGCAUGGGUAGCGAACAGGAUUAGAUACCCUGGUAGUCCAUGCCGUAAACGAUGAAUGCUAGGUGUUGGAGGGUUUCCGCCCUUCAGUGCCGCAGCUAACGCAUUAAGCAUUCCGCCUGGGGAGUACGACCGCAAGGUUGAAACUCAAAGGAAUUGACGGGGGCCCGCACAAGCGGUGGAGCAUGUGGUUUAAUUCGAAGCAACGCGAAGAACCUUACCAGGUCUUGACAUCUUUUGAUCACCUGAGAGAUCAGGUUUCCCCUUCGGGGGCAAAAUGACAGGUGGUGCAUGGUUGUCGUCAGCUCGUGUCGUGAGAUGUUGGGUUAAGUCCCGCAACGAGCGCAACCCUUAUGACUAGUUGCCAGCAUUUAGUUGGGCACUCUAGUAAGACUGCCGGUGACAAACCGGAGGAAGGUGGGGAUGACGUCAAAUCAUCAUGCCCCUUAUGACCUGGGCUACACACGUGCUACAAUGGAUGGUACAACGAGUUGCGAGACCGCGAGGUCAAGCUAAUCUCUUAAAGCCAUUCUCAGUUCGGACUGUAGGCUGCAACUCGCCUACACGAAGUCGGAAUCGCUAGUAAUCGCGGAUCAGCACGCCGCGGUGAAUACGUUCCCGGGCCUUGUACACACCGCCCGUCACACCAUGAGAGUUUGUAACACCCGAAGCCGGUGGCGUAACCCUUUUAGGGAGCGAGCCGUCUAAGGUGGGACAAAUGAU